GACGUAGGGCGCGAGCGUUGUCCAGAUUCAUUGGGCGUAAAGGGUGCGUAGGCGGCGCGGUAAGUCGGGUGUGAAAUCUCGGAGCUUAACUCCGAAACUGCAUUCGAUACUGCCGUGCUUGAGGACUGGAGAGGAGACUGGAAUUUACGGUGUAGCGGUGAAAUGCGUAGAUAUCGUAAGGAAGACCAGUGGCGAAGGCGGGUCUCUGGACAGUUCCUGACGCUGAGGCACGAAGGUCAGGGGAGCAAACGGG
Molecule: ribosomal RNA, 253 nt
Filed under: uncultured bacterium
Lineage: Bacteria
Description: partial 16S ribosomal RNA
Rfam family: Bacterial small subunit ribosomal RNA
Source: RNAcentral